RNAcentral lists this ribosomal RNA (467 nucleotides) under uncultured bacterium. RNAcentral's name for it is "partial 16S ribosomal RNA". It matches the Rfam family "Bacterial small subunit ribosomal RNA", at positions 29 to 507 of the family's 1533-position model. The record is from RNAcentral.
ACGAACGCUGGCGGCGUGCUUAACACAUGCAAGUCGAACGGAAAGGCCCUGCUUUUGUGGGGUGCUCGAGUGGCGAACGGGCGAGUAACACGUGAGUAACCUGCCCUUGACUUUGGGAUAACUUCAGGAAACUGGGGCUAAUACCGGAUAGGAGCUCCUGCUGCAUGGUGGGGGUUGGAAAGUUUCGGCGGUUGGGGAUGGACUCGCGGCUUAUCAGCUUGUUGGUGGGGUAGUGGCUUACCAAGGCUUUGACGGGUAGCCGGCCUGAGAGGGUGACCGGCCACAUUGGGACUGAGAUACGGCCCAGACUCCUACGGGAGGCAGCAGUGGGGAAUAUUGCACAAUGGGCGGAAGCCUGAUGCAGCAACGCCGCGUGCGGGAUGACGGCCUUCGGGUUGUAAACCGCUUUCGCCUGUGACGAAGCGUGAGUGACGGUAAUGGGUAAAGAAGCACCGGCUAACUACGUG